Molecule: small nucleolar RNA, 132 nt
Filed under: Myotis davidii
Lineage: Eukaryota; Metazoa; Chordata; Mammalia; Chiroptera; Vespertilionidae
Source: RNAcentral
CUCCAAAGUGUUGAGUUCAGUUCAGGGUAGCAUCCCUGUGCUGUUAAUUAAACUUUGGAACAUUGAAACAGGCUAGGAUAAAUGAAUGGGUAGAAAAAUCUGCUCUAUUCACUUAUCUCCCAGCCUACAAAA